UGUCCUUAAAAUCUAACAAUCCCCAUUACCAAUUUCUGUGAUUAAGCACAGGCAAUUAUUUGGGAAAAUGUACCGGAAAAUUCGGCAUUCUAUUAAUGACGCAAAAUAGUAUGAUUUAAGGGACGGGAUUAUGAUGUUUUGUACAAGCGGUUACGGAUGACAUUCGUUAAGCAAAGCCGGAAACUCAACACCAAUCAAGCGAAGCAAUCCCAAUCAAUCGGUCAACAUUUACCUCUGCUCUGUUGCUAUACGAAAAGUAAUUAUGACAUCACGGACUUGGUUAUUACUUGUCUCUCACCACUUUGAGAAGCCAAGUAAUAAUUAAUAAACGCGGCUACUGCCUGCCCUACAAAACACGAAGAAAGAUAGUGUCCAAGCAGUAGUUUUCAUCAAUCAAACAAUUAAACGGAACGGUACGGCCGCGGACAGAGCAGAAAAUAAAAAGUCAACAAUAAAAAUUAUCAAUUAAAUACAAAAUAAAUCCGCAGUGAGUGUUUCUCCGGUUGCAAACAAGAAUGUAACUUUUCGCGAACGGAAUUAAUGAAACGUUGGUUUAAUCACCCGUUUACUACCUGCCCUACAAAACACGAAGAAAGAUAGUGUCCAAACCACAGUUUUAAAAUUAAAUAAAACGGAACGGGACGGAACGAUAUCAAUAGCAAUGGAUUCGAUAAAGAUCUUAAUACGCGAGCUUGGAAGCGGCCGGUCAACUGUCAACAGGUGGCUCUUACCUAACCCAAUUCACACUGUCAACGUCAAGACAAAAUUAAACGUAAAUAUUGAAAAUUUAACGGUAUUGAAAUAUGGAAAAAUUACUGGUACUUCGCUCGAAAGGUAUGGUACGACCUUACUGCGACGAAUGUGAAUCCUUGGUGGACCUGGAACCUUUUUAUACCCAUCGCAGGAAUUUGGAUGCCGACAACUCACGAACAUCUUCGGAACCAAUCGUUAAAUAAAAAUGCAAUUGGGAAAACUUAAUGAAAAUAGAGUUUUUCCUCAUGAAAACGGUGAAAACAGCGGAACAAAAGCUGGCCACAUGUGUACAAGAAAACCGGCUUUUCAGGAAAACCGCGGGAAACUGAAUCAUGAUUUAUAUUAUAUUUUGCCACACCGGGCAUGCCCCUUCAUUUAACAGGGCUUCCCAAGUUUUAGGCAUUUGUGAUUCUUUAUUAUCCUAAGAAUAACCAGGGCUGAAAACAAUAAGGCCAGAGGCUACAACAUAGUCAACGGAGAACUAGGCAUAACCUAUAAGAAAUCAAACCUUUCCAGGAUACUAUCAGGCUAGAAACCUCUUUAAGUUGGUUUCUUUAUGUAUAUUUACAAUUAUAAACCACUCAUGACUCACAGGUAAAGCUUAAAAUGUAUCUUUUUAUUAUGUAAAUUAUAAAUUUAGAGGUUAAAAUGUUAACGGAGCAAAAUUAUCUAAGUUGUUCCAUAAAAGACUGCCUGGGCUUACCCUUAUUACUAUAAAAUAAAGACAAAAUCUUGUAACUUCGUUACACUGCUAAAACGAGACUCAGAGUCAAGAGUGAAGUCAACAGACUCGGACAUAAGUGAUUCUCAUGAAAGUUCGAUGGGACAGAGCUAA
This is a long non-coding RNA of Anthonomus grandis grandis, 1588 nucleotides long. RefSeq lists it as uncharacterized. The transcript has 3 exons. NCBI's taxonomy places the organism in Eukaryota, Metazoa, Arthropoda, Insecta, Coleoptera, Curculionidae. The record is from RefSeq and is a predicted model, not a curated record.